GGACUACCCGGGUAUCUAAUCCUGUUUGCUCCCCACGCUUUCGUGCCUGAGCGUCAGUAUUGGCCCAGGGGGCUGCCUUCGCCAUCGGUGUUCCUCCGCAUCUCUACGCAUUUCACUGCUACACGCGGAAUUCCACCCCCCUCUGCCAUACUCCAGCAAGCCAGUUUCCAAUGCCAUUCCCAGGUUGAGCCCGGGGCUUUCACAUCAGACUUAACUCACCGCCUGCGCACGCUUUACGCCCAGUAAUUCCGAUUAACGCUCGCACCCUACGUAUUACCGCGGCUGCUGGCAC
This 292-nucleotide ribosomal RNA is filed under the name uncultured bacterium. RNAcentral's name for it is "partial 16S ribosomal RNA". The record is from RNAcentral. RNAcentral also lists the same sequence under 1 other name.